This 62-nucleotide transfer RNA is filed under the name Ochromonas sp. CCMP1393. The record is from RNAcentral. Lineage: Eukaryota; Chrysophyceae; Chromulinales; Chromulinaceae.
UCAAAAAAAAAAAAAGAUUUUUAUGGUAACUGAGAUAAAUAUUUAUACUGCGCUUUUACUAG